This 408-nucleotide ribosomal RNA is filed under the name uncultured bacterium. Its description in RNAcentral is "partial 16S ribosomal RNA". It matches the Rfam family "Bacterial small subunit ribosomal RNA", at positions 28 to 526 of the family's 1533-position model. The record is from RNAcentral.
GACGAACGCUGGCGGCGUGCUUAACACAUGCAAGUCGAACGAAGUGGCGGACGGGUGAGUAACGCGUAAUCAACCUGCCCUUCAGAGGGGGACAACAGUUGGAAACGACUGCUAAUACCGCAUACUGAAGGAGGGGAUUGCGUGGGAUAAGAUAGUUGGGGGGGUAACGGCCGACCAAGGCGAUGAUCAGUAGCCGGCCUGGAGAGAGGAACGGCCACAUUGGGACUUGGACCCGUCCCAGAAGCCUACUGGAGGCAGCAGUGGGGAAUCUUCCGCAAUGGACGAAAGUCUGACGGAGCAACGCCGCCGGAGUGAUGACGGCCUUCGGGUUGGAAAGCUCUGUUAAUCGGGACGCGGUACCGGAAUAGAAAGCCACGGCUAACUACGUGCCAGCAGCCGCGGUAAUAC